This is a non-coding RNA of Camelina sativa (false flax), 334 nucleotides long. Lineage: Eukaryota; Viridiplantae; Streptophyta; Magnoliopsida; Brassicales; Brassicaceae. The record is from RefSeq and is a predicted model, not a curated record.
CGGAAGAGAAAGCUAAAGCAGGAACCUUUGGAGGUAACUCCCGGCAAAAGAAUCAAUGCCCACAAACAGCUAUGCGGAUUACCCUAUGAUAUACAAGAUUUUGCUUACAAAAAGAACAAUGGAUCUCCUUCAUCCAACAUGAAUUCACGGUGGCAGAAUGUGUCGGAGGCUCGACAAGCCACUCUUCAACGCCACUCAACAAAUGCUGACGAAAACUCUGAACCGAUCCCAAAUGAUCUCUAUAUUGAGAUAUUCUUGAGGUUGCCGGUGAAGUCUAUAGCGACAUGUCGUUGUGUAUCAAAGCUCUGGGCCUCCUUACUUGGCCUUCCCUAUU